GCCCUCGUUGAUCAAUGGAGAUCACCCGUACAAAUUAAUACAGCAGGAAUGAAGAUCAGUGGGCAGAGGGGGUUCGAAUCCCCCCGAGGGCA
This is a non-coding RNA of Mycena vulgaris, 92 nucleotides long. Lineage: Eukaryota; Fungi; Basidiomycota; Agaricomycetes; Agaricales; Mycenaceae. The record is from the annotation of a GenBank genome assembly.